UUUUUAUAGGUGUAGUUGCACAAUAAAAUUUGAAUUUAUAGGAAAGGUAUAGCCUUAUAAGAAA
RNAcentral lists this transfer RNA (64 nucleotides) under Cerion uva. RNAcentral describes it as "tRNA-Gln". Lineage: Eukaryota; Metazoa; Mollusca; Gastropoda; Stylommatophora; Cerionidae. The record is from RNAcentral.